GCACAUGGUGUUUUGAUAGGGAUUGCGUUGAAUCUAUAGAUUGCUUUGGGUGUGUGGACAUAAAAUCCAACAUAACAUGACAUUCUUUCUUUACAACCCAAUACCCUUUUCUGCUUCAUCUCCUGAGACAUUCCGUGCACUGCCUUCCCCGUCCAUCCAUUAUGGUAUCACCCCAGUCCUUGCCAACACUGUCCCCCAGCUCAAGAGGGCCAGUCACAAUUAUUCCAGCACACUGCUUGCUUUUCUGCCCCCAAACUGUUACCCAGAUAAUUUUCUCUCUGUCAAACAUUCUCUUUCACUUCUUUACUUACCAGAAUCCUACCUCCUGGGCAAAACUAAAUGUAAGUACCACCUACUGAAAGGGAAGCUGUCUUGUCCCUGCUGCCGUGAGCAGUGUUAUGUCUCCACAUCUGUCCUUGGACAUGUCAGAGUCUGACUUUCAUGCUGUCUAAUUGCAUGUGUGCUGCCCCAAUAGAAUGGGACUUCCUUGGGAUCGGCCGGGCAUAUUAUUCACCCAUAGACCCCAGUGUCUUGCUUGGCAACCCACUUAUACUGGUUGAAUUUAAGGGAAUCAUAGCUCACAAGACCCUACAUGAUCUUGCCCCACCACCUUUUCAGAUUCAUGUUGAAUACUCUCUUGCUCACUCUCUCUCCAGCCAGCAAUCCCUCCGUUUAACCACAGGGUCUGCAGACCUGGCUCCCUGCGCACUGGCACCUCGGGCUAGACAAGGCCUGUGAGUGCAUGUGCAUUGUUCUCUCUCACCAAGAUGAAUGGAUAAAGCAGCUAUUGAAGGCACAGGCAGAAGAAAACUGGGUGGUGAGUCUCCCAGAGCUCCUAGGCCAGCAAAGAAGGGCAGGUGACCCUGACACUGACAUUGUGGUUCAGGGAAGGAUGUCUGUCUCCAUGGAGCUGGAGGCGCUGGGGAGGGUGGCAGACAUGGUUGAUUCCCUAGAUCCACUCUCUUCUUUUCCCUUCCUAUCAGAACUGCAAUGCGUUCAAUUUAAACUACCGAUUUCCCAGACUUCUUUGCAAUGAGGGGUGUCCAUAUGACCCAACUCUGGCCAAGGAGAUGGGAACAGAACUGUCCUGAGUGAGAAUUCUAAGAAAGACACAGUAGUAUGUACCUUUUGCCCUUGGAUUUUUUUCUUCCUGCUCCUCCCCCUCCUCCUCCUCCUUCUCCUCUUAUUUCUCGGAAACAUGGAUGUGAUGCCUGGAGGGGAAGCAGCCAUCUUGCAACCAGGAAGAAAGAAGUCUCCUACUAAGGAGGUCGGACAGGCGGCCAUCAACAACAUCUGAAUGACUUCAUUGUGGAGUUCUGGCUUCAUGAGAAAAUUCAGCUCCUAUUACAUACAUGUGCAGUAGCUCAUUAUCUGUUCCGAGCAGUUAGCACGGCCCUACCUGAUACGAGUGAGGGCCCAGCUGGGAGCACAGCGUUUCAUCCUGACAAAGCCCCUCCCCUGGAAGACCUCCCUGCCAGGCACAGCCCCGCGGGCACAGGCUGGCACAGCCAGCAUGUCGAGGACACACACUCCACCAGCUCUCCUCUUGGAGUGGGUCCUGCAUGGCCCCUUCCCUUCGCUACCUUGAUGCCAAGGCCUUAAUUGGAGGGAAGGGAAGAAAUCAGAGGCCGCCAUAGUGGGAAAGUCGGAAAUAAAAUCUCGCUCUGCCUUCCCCCCAGGAAAAAAACAAGCCGUGACAAAGCCUGGGUGAGGUUUGUUUUGAAGUGAAAAAUCCACGCCAGUUCCAUUAGUUUGGAAAACCAGUUGCUGCCUGAAUAACUGAAACCUGUCCUAUAAGCGUGAACUGUCACCUCAAGGUGCUGGCCUCUAAUUGUGAACACACGUCGGCCAGAGCUGCUGGUUCUCCAGACUGGAGCACGUGACGCCUCCUCCCCCAGCCCUUCCACCCUGACAAUAUGCCACCAUUGCCGCUCCCAGUGAUGCCCCGGGAGAAAGCCAAGCGAUGCUGCCUUCGGAGAUAAUGGCGUUGGAAAUGCAAUGCUAAUGGCUCCCCAGACAAGACCAGAAUAGCCUCCUGUUCUGCCUUCCUGGCGCACAGAGGCCGCAGCCUGUGAGCAUCCGCAGGCGCCUCACGCCCCGCCCUCCCCGAGUGCCCGGAGCCAGCUUCAUGGCGAGAGCCACCUGUUCAUCAUCAGAGAGUUUUGUCCAACCCGCUGGAUGGGCUCAGAGCAGAGGCGCAGCUGAGUGUUUGAGCCGGGAGAACCUGCGGCCCAGCAGGCACCUCCAUUCAGACUAUAAACUCGCUUUGCAAGUUGAUCAUCACCCACUAACUGGGCCAUGUUUGCCAUGCAGUUAAGAUGGAUUUGAAUCCACUUAUUUUCUUUUGCACCCCAGCUCCCACCCCCACCCAAAGCCUGAGCUGGUGUUUAAGAAAACAAUAAAAAUGACGUGGGCUGGUGGACUGCUGACCUUCUUUAUAUGGAAGUCACGUGAAGGCUGCAGACCAACUGCCAGGGGCAAGAGGAACGUCCCUGCACUUCUCCCAGGAGGCCUGGCGUCCCGGGGCUGCUGCUGGCCUGUCUUGGGAAGGGGGCUCAAUUCUGAUGACAGUGGGCAUUCAAGAAGGAUGCUGGGCAGGACUUGUAUCCAAGCUGAGGUGUGGCUGGUGGAGUCGAUGGGUAUCAAGCUCGCUAUUCUGGCCAUUCGCUGGAACAGCCCUGGACGCACCCACUCCCUGCACAUUGUUAGAACCCACAACUGUCCUCCUACGUUGAACUCACAACUUCCUGCUUUAGCCCUGGGAGGAGGGCUGCAGCAGUUAGCCUGGGAAUCAACCGAAUUGCCUACUCUCAGAUGAUCUGCAAUUCAUGCCUUAGAUUUUGUAAUGCCACCUCUGGGCAGCCAGCUGCUCGGCAAGGCAGAGCGCCUGCCAGAGAGAGACCGGGUGGAGGCGACCCUGACGCCUUGGAUGUCCCGUCCCAGCUGGGGCUGAAGGCAGCCCCUGGAGCGAGCCGACCACAGACCUCUCAGCGGCCGGCCCGGCUCCUACUCCUCAGACCAGGAGAGCAUCGCGAGGUGGUGCUUUAAACACCAACCGGGAGCAUUUUGUUCGCAGCAACAGAUGGCUAACAGGAGGCAAUGGGGCCACCCGUGAGCCAGAUGCUCCGGAGGGGGGGCCUGGGCAUCAGCAUUUUAACAGGCCCCGCUGCCCCUGAGAGGGGACUGAUUGGCUCAGCCCCGUAACCCGUUCUCGGCCCGGGCGGACCAGAGCGAGGCCUCCCGAGAAUGGGUCUGGCCGCUUUCCCUUGCCCACUCACCUCUCAGGGUGUCUGUCACAUGCUGCCUGAACUCGUGGAAAACAUUUUAAAAUAUUAA
Myotis lucifugus (little brown bat) is the source of this 3336-nucleotide long non-coding RNA. RefSeq lists it as uncharacterized. Lineage: Eukaryota; Metazoa; Chordata; Mammalia; Chiroptera; Vespertilionidae. The record is from RefSeq and is a predicted model, not a curated record. The transcript has 3 exons.